AACGCGCGGCGCGUUUGUAGCUCAUAUGUAUCCCCGGAUCCCGCCUUUUGCUUUUCAUCCAUCAUUUAAAAACUCUCUCUCUCUCUCUCUUCGCUGGCUUAGACGAGGAACAAGAAUUGGAGAAAAUUUUGUCGUGGCCCUGAGAAUCUAGGGUUUAGAUUUCAUUCUGCCGUUCUCCGAUUCGAUUCUAUAAUCUUAUUUCAUCUGGCACGGAUCAUAAAUUAACUCAUUGAGUUGAAUGAUGGAAGAUGUCUUAAUGAGUGGUUGAUUAGUUCUAGUUCUGAUAGUCCGUUUAUAUUCGGAUGGCUUGUUACUGGAUUACUUGGGCAUCCACCUGCUGCGUUUGUCUCUACUCUCUUGUUCCAGGCCAGAAUGUUUC
Brassica napus (rape) is the source of this 379-nucleotide long non-coding RNA. RefSeq lists it as uncharacterized. The record is from RefSeq and is a predicted model, not a curated record. NCBI's taxonomy places the organism in Eukaryota, Viridiplantae, Streptophyta, Magnoliopsida, Brassicales, Brassicaceae. The transcript is spliced from 2 exons.